UAUUUCAGGAAAUGCAGAAAUCGGGCUUCAGCCCUGCCAGCUUGACGUAUGUCUCUAUUUUAAUGGCAUGUAACCAUGCGGGACUCAUUGAAGAAGGUCGACAAUAUGUUAAAGAGAUGCAGACAUUGCAUGGUCUAAAACCUGAAUUGGAGCAUUAUGCAUGCGUGAUUGACAUGCUGGCUCGUGCUGGACAGUUUGAUGAUGCCCUAAAUCUCAUGGCUGAGAUGCCUAUGCAGCCAGAUACUCAAAUUUGGUGUUCGUUGCUCAAUUCAUGUAUAGUUCACGCCCAGUCAAAUCUUGGGAAGAAAUGUGCUAACAAGUUACUGGAAUUAGAACCAAAAAGAGCAGAAAUUUAUGUUUUAGUAUCCAAUUUUUUUGCUAGAUAUGGGGACUGGGACUCUGUUAGACAAGUGAGGGACAAGAUGAAGGAAUUAGGCUUGCAAAAAGAAAUUGGCUGCAGUCAGAUUGAAAUAGGAGGAAAAAGCUAUAACUUUGUUGUUGGCAAUAUGUUUUCCAAGCCAUAAGAGCUCUAGUGAAGUUUGAUGUGACCAAAUGGAAACAAGUGAAUUGGUUAACACCCGAGAUAUUUUUGAAGGGGUUUGUAGUGGAGAUAAAUUUCUCAGUUUUUCUAAUAAGUUGUUAAAACUGCAGGUUUCUGUUGUUGAGCUGUCAAGGCCAUCCGCGUCCUUACCGGAAAUUUUGAGCGGCAUAGGAAGCUAUUUAGCCGGAGCAGAUAGAACAUUAAAAGAGUUGCUAAAUGAUGUGGCAUCAUCUGAUGGGAUCCAAGCCCGUAUGGACGGGUCAUGUUUGAGAAAUUAGGAGGAGCCGCUUACACCAAUCCCCUGUUUAUGUUGAUAAAAGAUUGCCUCAGUUCCUUCUAAAGUCAAAGGCUGUAUGCUGUUGUAUCAGAAAUAUCUCAUUUUAUUUCUUACCUCUUUUCCUUGUAUUGAGUAUAGAACUUCCGAUAUGUUUUUGUUUUAAGUCUUGGGUUGGUGAGUAAGUGAAACAAAUGGAUAGGCGGUAACAAAAGAUUAAAAUUUCCUUACUUCCUUAAAGUUGAUAGUGCUAAAAAUAUAUUUGGCACUACCAAUACUUGUAAAAAUUAUUUGAUUCAUUAAAUUAAAUUGCAGUGGUUGCAGGUUGGUGUAUAUAUGAGCUCUUGCUGAUUUGAAUUCAGGAUGAGUGGUUCUCAACAAGGGUAUGGAGGUACCACACGAAUCAGUAUCAUGACAUUCUGUUCUGUACAACUACUGUAACUUUGAAACAAUUCCGCUUUGCACUUCCGUAUGAUUCAUCCUGUCUGAACAGAUAGAUCCAUGGUGCCAACGGCCAUGUAUAAAAUACAGAUUUAUAAUAUAGAAGUGGAACAUUCUCAUUAUAUGUUUCUCCAACUCCUUUCUUUUGGUAAAUGCAGUAGAAGAACUAUUGUUGCUUCAAGGCUCAAGCUUCGUGCAUACAGGUAGAGCUCGGUUUUUUUAGGAUUCCCACCUGGUGUUCUUUGAUAUCCACACGGGCCCAACAAAAUCUGAAUUCGCGCCCUGAAGUUCCACAUUGGGUGAUAAAUUGCUCCUUAUAAAAGGUGACUCCUUAUUGAGGGCUCGGGAUCCAAGACCUUUGGUUGAGGAUGAAGGAUUACUUAUUACUCCACUACACCUUUAUGAAUUAAGAGAAACUAGAAAGCUUUCAUAACAUGACAAAAGAGAACUAUCCUCCCACUCCCCUCUUCACAAUGAAAAUAAAAUAAAAUCCGCAACCACUACCUAGGGGUAGGGGUGUACAUGGCCGGGUUGGUUCAGGUUUUUCAAAUAUCAAAUCAAACCAUUUGUGUCAGAUUUUUGAAUUUAUUAACCAAACCAAUAAAACUCGGGUUUUUGAACCUCGGAUUUUUUCGAAUUUUUUUGGGUUUUUCGGGUUUUUCCAGUAAAGUAUUCAUACAAACAUAUAAUUUACUUGUACUUUAAAUAUUCUUUUAGUCGUACCAAAAUACAACUAUCUAAGGUGUUUUUUAAGAAAAUAACACAAAAUAUGAUAUGAUUAAUGACACUAAAAAAUCUAACAAAAAAAUAAUAAUGAAAUCGCAUAAAACAAAGGAAAAAUCACCCCAUAUACACAUUUAAGAGUCAAUAUUACAGGUUUUAAAUCUACUUUUAAAAAAUUCUUAGCUUAUAACAGUUUAAUUACGAGUUAUAACAUAUCACUAAUUAUUUAUAAAUUAAUUAAAUUUUACUUUAUUAAAUAAGUAUUUUUUUAUAAUUUUAUAUGAUUAUUAAAUUAUUUAAAUAAAGAAUACCCCAUAAUUAUCUCUUACACAAUUAUAUGGAUUUUACAUUGAUUACACUUCCUUAUUCAAUAUUACACUCAUAACCUCUCAUUAGUCAAUCCCACCACCCUUCCCCCACACCUAUCCAACUAUACACGCUAUCACCCCACUUUCACCUUCUUCUCUCCCAUUUUUCUCACCAGCCAACUACACUAACAUUCAAUCUUUCGUCUAUUUUUUUUCCCCAACAAAAUUAUGUUUAAGAAACCCAUUGAAACGCCUCGAAAGAGUCCCAAAUUGGGUGAAGGAACUUCUAAAGAUGAUGUUCAUGUUUCAAAUUUUAAUAUAUUAACUCAACCCCACCCCUCUCGCCUAAAAUUGUUGAAUAUCCGGCGAAUAUUCAAAAUUCGGCGACGGAUUGUUCAUAUAAGUUGAAGGAGCGACAGAGAGAAAAAAUGAAGAAAAAAAAAGGUCACCCCUGNNNNNNNNNNNNNNNNNNNNNNNNNNNNNNNNNNNNNNNNNNNNNNNNNNNNNNNNNNNNNNNNNNNNNNNNNNNNNNNNNNNNNNNNNNNNNNNNNNNNNNNNNNNNNNNNNNNNNNNNNNNNNNNNNNNNNNNNNNNNNNNNNNNNNNNNNNNNNNNNNNNNNNNNNCGUUUUUUUUUUUUAACUUUUGGACAAUUUUUUUGUGUUCUUCCUUCCCCUUUUCAUCUUUACCAGAACACCAAACUCAUCCACCAGUGUCCAUCCUUCCCCUUUUCUUAUUUGCCGGAACACACAACCGGCUAAACCCAACACACUCCGAUAAUUAUCUUCACUUCACCUUUUUUCUCUCAAUUGUUAAUCAUAAAUGGAUUUUUUUCCACUCAUACACCUUUCUCAUGUCCUUUAAUCUGACACCCAUCAACAUUGUAAUUCUCAUUUCUAUCAAAGUCAUUCUCCUUUACCAAUAUUAAUUCACAUUUGUUGAUAUUAUUUUCAUCUUCUAUGUUGUGAGCUUCUUAGGGUUUGAAUUUCUUAACCAUUUUGAAGAAAUAAUUUCAAAGUGUAUUAGCCUUGCCAGAAAAAUGAAGUUUUUGCCAGAAUUGUUUUUGACGCAAUUUGAUUUUUAUUUUUUGAUAAAAUUUUCUUCUACUCUAAUGAAAAUCUUUAUCAGUGAACUCAUUUGAAAUUUAAUAUUUUAUUGUUGGAUAUUGUAUGAAUUGUUAUAUAAUAUUGAUAUACAAAUGAUAUAAAUUGUGUGAUUUAUAUGAAUUUAUCAAUUUUUAUACAUGUUGUUUGGAUAAAACGUGUAUGAAAUUGACACAUCCCCUUAAGAGACAAUGAAUAUAAGAGUAAUUUUACGAUAUCACUCAUAUUAAUUACUCAAGUCAUUUAAAUGUUGUGGAAUGAAUAGUAUUUAGUAAAAAAGGAGGUAAAAAUUAGACACAAUGAUAUUUUAUCUCUUUGGUUUUCCAUAUUAGAUAAGUAAUAUUGGAUAGAUAUUUUUAAUAUAUUGGAUAAGUAAAGAUGGAUAGAGGUUGUACUAACCUAUUUACGUGUGAUGCUUCACAUCCUGGAAGCAAUUUUUGUUAUACUACAUUCAUAAAUUUAACUUUGAAGGCUUUGUUUGGGUGUUAACAUCAUCAUAUUACACAGAUUAGUAGCAAGGGAAAUAGCAAAUAACUCAAGUUGGUUAAAGGGAUUCUAAUAGCUUAAUCUGUAUUUGUUUGUUACUUUGGAGUUAUUUUAUAUGCCUCUUGAAAAAAUUGGACCGUUAAUAAUAAUCAACCCUUUUCCUAAGUCAACUUUAGAAUUGCUGCUUAUUUAAUCAUAAAAUCAACAAUCAAUCUAGUAAUCAAUAUCUAGAUUACUUUCAUAUACAACGCUGCGUUUACUAAUGAUUUAUGGGGAAUUUCCUUACGCAUUUAAAAAAAAAAAGGAAUUUAAUUACGUUAUCCCACCGUUUCUUGCUGCAAGACGCAAUUUAAUUGUUCAACAUUAGGCACUAUUCAUGACUAUAGAGAUUAAACUAUAAAUCAGUUCAAAGACAUAAAAAGAAUCUUAAGGCGCUAAAACAAAUAUUGCAAAUUAAUACGUCAUAAUAAAAAUGAUUAUAGUUUAAAAAUAUUAAAUCAUGCUAAAAUAAGUUUAAUAAGUAUUAGUUACAUGACUAAAUAUUAAAGGAAAUUAAAAUUAGAUUAUGUAUUUUAAUUGUCUAAACCUAUGUAAAAUUAAAGAACAAAUAUUCAAUAUUAUUGUCAUUCUUAGUGUUGAAUUGAUUUCCUUUUUGCAUUAGUAUUUAUUUGAUUUUGAUUUAAGCUUUAUUUUAAUUACUAACAUCUAUGGACUAUAGUCUUUAUUGGAUCAUUAGGAAUUCUAACUUUCAAACAUGAAAUAAUAUAUUAAAAGAUAAAAACUAUGAAAAAGUAUAAGAAAUAUUUAAAAAUUAUAUCAAAGUAAAUAUUUUUACAUAUAAAAUAAAAUUUUAAAAUUAUAUAUAUAAUGUCGGGUUGGUUUGGUCUCGGGUUGGUUAUUUUUUAGUUGAAACCAAACCAACCCAAAUAUAAUCGGGUUUUUUUUCCAAUACCAAAUCACUAGUCGGAUUUUUUUUUCGGUUUGAUUCGGUUUUCGGUUCGGUUUUGUAGGGGGCAUGCUCACUUUCUUCCCUGAAACCAGGGGCGGCUCGAUAGUGUUAAAAAAAAGACAUGUGCCUUAGGCCCCGAAAUUUAAGGGGGCUCAUUUUUAAUAAUAAUAGGUUAUAAGUUAUUUAUUUUUUUAACAAAUAUUGAAUGCUAUUUGUAGAAAAAGUAAAUUUUCAUGAAAAAUGAAGGAAUUAUUAGAAGAAAUUUGACAAUAUUUGGAGUACUAUAUCUCAUGAUAAAUAAUUUAAAAUAAGAAUGGUUAUAUUAUCAAUUGAAAACUAGAACAAAUCAAUUAUAUAGAAGUUAUUAACAAUUUAAGUUUAAGGUCCCAUUUAAUUUUUGUUUUAGGCCACUAAUGUGCUUGAGCCGGCGCUGCGUGAAACCAAACAUGUUAUGUGUUUUCAGCAGUAGUCAACUGCUUUCAAGGAGUGGUGUGUAGAUAACUUUCAUGUGUUCUUUGGUCAUGGUAUAUGGUGAUUAGAGGAAAAUAUAGGAGAGGUAGUUUGAUAUUUAGAACAGGUAUAUAGCUAUAGCUUCAUCUGUUCAUUUCCCAGAAGAAUAUGGGUAGUCAAUUGUGGUUGCUUUCUCCACCUAAUAGUACUGCAGGCUAAUUUAGAAGAACACACCAGACCGGAAAUCACAUAGUUAAUAAGCUCAUAUCACAUUGUAACUUCAAUCCAGAUACUUGACUUUAAAAUGCCGUUUCUUUGCAAGUUUUUUUUAAUAGAGGGUUUUAUGAAUCGUGAGGAAGGAGAGGCAGAAGAUGAGAGAUAGUAUUUGGUUGAAUUGGGAGUACAACUUCUUUUAUCCUUGUUAAAUCACUUCUUAGGCAGCAAGAGAGUUUUUGUUUAAUUGGAGUUCAGUUUAUUUGAUUCCUUCUCUCGUCCACUAAGAUUUGCCGAAUAGAGUUAAUUGGUACUAUACUAGUAAGAGGUAGUAGGAAUUGGUUGGUUGGUCAAGAUGCACGCAAGUUGAUCAGACAUUGUAAAAAGAGGAAGUGGGUGUGGGUUAUCAUCUAGUAUUCAGCUCUUCGAAGGUUAAAAGGGGAAAAAGAUGAUUAUUAAUGAGUUUCUUCUUAAUUUGUAGAAUGAAACUAGUGAAUCAGAGUUAUUGCUUGCCAUAACCCUAGACUGGAGGGUGCAUAGCAGUUUAGAUUGUGGUAGUAUUGACCACUAAACUAAACCUUAGAGGAGGAGGAGAAUUGAAAAAUAGGCCUUAUGUCACAGUUGUUAGCUUGUGAGCUCAAUAAUACGCACAAGAAGACAGGGUGCAGAUAUACAUUUGGAAUAUCUCGCUAGGAUUCCAGAUUUCAGUUUCAACUGUCACUAGGUUCUAAGCUUCUCUAUACUUGGGGCAUUGGACAUGAAAAAAAAUAAUAUGAUAUUUGAAAGAAAGAAAGAAAAUUUAAAAACGUUUUAGGAAUUGAAUUGUGUUUGAUAAUGCAUUUAACUUGAAAAAAGAUAAUCGUAUUUUUAAAAUUAAAAUAUAUUACAUUAACAAAUAAGUAUAAAUAUUAGAGAUUUAAUUAAUGGUCUUAUAUAUUUAUAAUAUGUUAUAGUUACAAAUCAAAAAGUAGAAACUAGAAAGUAUGAAUAGUAGUUCUCCAAAUAUAAAAAAUGUAAUAGAGAACUACUAUUCAUAUAUCUAUAAAUGGAUAAUAGAAUGAUUGGUGAGUUCAUUCUCUAUUUUACUUUAUAACUAUAAAAAAUAGAGGGUAAAAUAAAGAUAGAUGGGAGACGGUCAAUGUAUGAUCAGAAGUUGUUCAUACAUGUGAUGAGUACUUAUUUACUCCAUAGUUAAUAGUAAAAAAUUGAGGGUCUGCCACCAUUACAUUGUAGCUCAAAAUUAUAUUCGCAUCCAUUUUUUUUAUUCUUGGGAAAAAAGAUUCAUUCUCUUUUUUAUGAUGAACAUUGUUAACUAUGAUCAUUUACUGUAUUUCUUUACGCAAUCAGCAAAAUACGGAAUAUAUUUGAUAGGGAAGGGAAGCAUUGUUUUAUCACCCAAGAAGUUUGUCCUAUACAACAUAUAAGCAGGGAGAAAAGACAUAAAGUCACCACUAAAAUUAUCUCAAAUUUCAAAAAGAUAUUUUAACUUUGUGGGUGUUCUAUUACCCCAUUAAACAAUUUAAGAGUGUUAUAAAUAUUCCACUUUUCACCCAACCUCAAUUGCAAGAAAAGAAGUGCAAUCAAGCAUCAAUUAUUGUUUGCCACAUAUUAAUUUUUUAAAAUUUUAAAUUUUUAGUUUCAUUUUCAUUUUCAAUUUUUCUUCUUCAAUCUCCAUUCCUCUACAUGCCCCAAAUGAAGAGAGGAAGCGUUAAAAUUUUAAAUCCUCUUUCAUUUUCAAUUGAAAAUGAACCUAAAGUAACGGCCAAAAAAUCUCCAUUUUUCUUUUUCAAUUUUAAUCCUCUUUCUUCUUCAACCUUCAUUCCUCUAAAGUAGCAGCCAUUGCCGUCUUCGACGUACUCCAUGAUGCUUCCCUGUUAUAGAGAUAUUUCUGCCAUUAAAUCAUCACUAAAGCAAGGUAAUGAAAUUCUAUAUUCAAACCAAAAAUAAAAAUAAAAAUGGAGUUUCAUAGUACUCUCUAAUCAAUCGAAUAAUGGAGUUCAUGACAUUUAUUUUAUUUUUAUAAAAAAAAAAGAGGAUAAACGAAGUUAGAGAAACAAAGAAAAGCAAGAGAUAAGAAAAAGUGAUAAAAAUAAAUGAAGUAAAUGGAUCUUCUAAGUUCAAGAAGAUAAAGAAAAGGUUAUUGGGUUGUUGAAUUUGGGUGAAGAAGUUAAUAGAAAAGAAUGAAUUGAGAAAGUUAAAAUUAAAAAAAUAGAAGUAAUUAAAGGAAAAUAAUAUUUUUAAUUAAAUAAAUGUUAAAAUAAAUAUUUAUUUAUUUUUUGGCUUGACUCACGCCCCAAAUGGAGAUUGAACCACACUCUCCUGCCACCUAGGCUCAUAAUGGACAAUAAAUUCAUUAUAAAUAAGAAUAAUUGGGUAAUAGAAUCCUCGCAAAGUAGAAGUGUUGUUUUGAAAAUUGGGAACAACUUCAAUAAUAAUUUUAGAAUUUUUCUUUAUUUUGAACUAGGUACAACCAAGUAAACUUGUAUGAGGAUCCACUAACUUUUCGACAUGUGGAUUGUGUGGCCCAAACUGUCAAUUAAGGCUGAAAAUGAAACCAAAAGGAGAGAGAAUGUAAAGUUUGGGUGGAAAUUGGGAGAAAAUUAUGGGGUCUACGUUAAAUUCAAUUAAAUAAAUUAAAAUAUUGUAUUGAACGAUAUACUUUUUCACUUUCAAUAUAAUAUUUUAAUUUAUUUAAUUGAAUUUAACGUGGAUCCCACAUUUUGCCUACAUUUUCCACCCAAACUUUAGGUUCUGUCGUUUAUUUUCAAUUUUUCAGCCUUAACUGAUAGUUUCACCCCUCCCACGAUCCACGUGUCAAAAAAUUAGUGGAUCCUCAUAAUUAGUUGGUUUCACUCAAAAUAUUUCAUAAUUUUAUGUCUUUUCUCGGUAAGCGGGUAAUAAGAGUGUUGUAUACAUUUUUGGAGUUUUGUUGACCUGAGUUUUUUCUGGGAAAGUUGGAUAUGCCAAAAGAGAUUAUCCCUUUUGCUGCUUCAGUGCUGACUGUAGUGUCUAUAAAUAAACCCCAUCCAUUUAUAAACCCCAUCUAGCCAAUUUUUCUUUCAAUGGAGUUCCCAAACUUUGUCAAAAAGUUUAGAGAGAGGAUUGGCCAUUACUUCCCAAGUAGUACUACAGUAGUGUCACCCAACUCCCCUAGUACUGUAGGUUUAUCCCUUGAAUCCUCCGCUAACACGGUGACACAACCAGCUGAGCUACAGCUGGAAUUGGAAGAGAGUAGCCCGGUAGUUGCUGCUGAAACCAAUAAUUUGGAUAGGUCGAUGCUAUUCAUGGCAUUCUGUUUAACAUCAGGGGUUGAGAUAACUCUGUAUUCUCUACAAGCUGGAAACGGCAGCCACUCGCUUCCUUUGUGUUUCCAAUUGUUGUCAUUUGCUAUUUUACUUGCUUUCACUUUACUCUUUGUGGGAAGAUUUAUAAAGGGCAAUUACCCGGCUGAAUCUGAAUUGCUAGAGCGGGCAGGUAUUUUAUUUGCCACUACAGCUUUCUACCUUGUCAUGACAAUGCCCUUUUCUCUAUUUCUCAAAGGUUGCUCUUGGGGCGUCUAUCUCUUCUCCUUGCUUGCUAUUGCUAUCUGCAACCAUUACUAAUGCGCUGCGCUCUAGUCAAUGCAGAGAAAUUAAAUCGUGGUCAUAGUUUUUUGAUAAUAAUGAGGACAGUUUUCUUUGGGUUAUAAAUAAGGUUGUAUAGUUAACCUAUGUGUGUGGGAUAGCUAGUGGUUAUUUAUCUUGUCAUAAGUUAUUUCUUACAUUUAAUUACGAUGUUAGCAAAUAUAUACCAUCUCCCUCGCGUUUUAUAAAAGUUCAGUUUAUCUUCUUUGCUUUUUGGUUAUCAAUUGUAUCAUCGGUGUAAACUCCUUAAAACUAAAACUGGAUAUGAUUCGUCACUUUCAGUACUAAUAUUUUAUUUAUUAUAACUAAAAAAUAUUCAGUCCAAGUUGAUUGGCCUCUUGGUGGGAAUUGGGAUAUUCUUUAAUGGUUCAAAAAGCACAAUUCAAUAUAAAGCAUAGAGAAUUUUUUUAAUGUUUGUUGAAUUCAAUAUAAUUAGUAAGCACAAGAAAGGCAAUAAUAUCAAUAAUAAUAUAUCUAGUAAAAUUUCACAAGUAAAAUGAAAAGAUAGAUUAUACACAAUUUUAUCUUUAUCUAGUAAGGAUAGAGAUGAUGUUUUUCAAUAGCUAUUCAAGUCAAGUAGAAUUCCUUAAAAAAAAAAAUACAGUAAAAAAUAUCAAUAACAACAAGAAUCAAUAUGAAAUUCGAUGGAAAGAAAAAAUCAGUCUCCGAAAAAAAACCCUUUCAUACUUGCACAUAAAUUCUUAUUUAAUACAGUAAAAUAACAUGUGAAAUGCACUUGCUAUACGAGACAAAAUUAAUUCGGUCGGUGUGCAGGAAAAUGUUACUAGUUCAUUUGCAACAAAAUAGCUACAAGUUUGAAUAAAUUGAACAGAAGCAAAUAAUAUUAUUUUCAAAAAGCGUUUAAAUAUAUGUUUUUUUUUUUUAAUAAUGACAUAAAAUUGAAAAUAAUUUUAUAAAAGCUAAAUACGACACACUAUUUCACUUUGGGAUUGACGUUUACAAAAUUAAAUUCAAAAUAGGAUAAGGGAUGUAAAGGCCACCAUAUACUUCCUCGCCGCGGGUAUCCGUAGGUAGCCUUGCUAUGUAUGUUUGAUGUUCACGCUGGCGAGCUUCCCCACGGCUGCUCCGGCGACGUUAACGCCGUCGCCGGCGUCGAACUCAUGCUGCCGCCACCAGCCCCAAUUUCAAACCGUCAAAGUUAGUCCAAAACCCAACAAAUUACGGUCGUUUGCAACUACCUCCGUUCCAAAAUCGGCAGGUUCAAUUUGCACCCCACCACCUGAGGAAGAUUCUAUAACUGCAAAAUCAACUUUGAAGAAUCAGCUCAAGAACCCAUUAACGCUAUCCGAAGAGAUCACGCAACUGUGCGAAUCCAAAAGCUCGUCGGAAGUUUUCCGUACAUUUCAAGAAAACCUCGAAAAGGCCUUCUACCACUCGUCGGAAAAAUCCGAGGCCUUAGGCGUACUCUUACAGGCCUGUGGUAAACAAAAGGACAUUCAAACGGGUCGUAAAGUCCAUGAAAUGGUUACUUCUUUGACCCAAUUAAAAGAUGACGUUAUACUCUGUACGCGGCUCAUCUCAAUGUACUCCAUGUGUGGGUAUCCUUCCGAUUCUCUCUCUGUUUUCCAUCAAUUACGAAGCAAAAAACUGUAUCAAUGGAAUGUUCUUAUGAGUGGGUACACAAAGAAUGAACUUUGGGUUGAUGCUAUUUGUUUGUUUAUUGAGCUGAUGACUUCAACCGAGGAAAGGCCAGACAAUUUUACUUUUCCUUUGGUUAUUAAGGCUUGUGGAGGGGUUCUUGAUGUGGGUUUAGGGGAAGCUAUUCAUGGGAUGGCAUCAAAGAUGGGUUUGGUUAGCGAUGUCUUUGUAAGCAAUGCGUUAAUUUCCAUGUAUGGGAAGUUAAGUCUUGUUGAGGAAGCUAUGAAAGUGUUUGAGCAUAUGCCUGAGAGGAAUUUGGUUUCAAGCAACUCAAUGAUUUCUGGGUUCUCAGCGAAUGGGUAUAUUGAACAAAGUUUUGAUCUUUUCAGAAAUAUAUUUACAGGGGAUGAAGUUCUUGUUCCAGACACGACUACCGUGGUUAUUAUGCUGCCAAUUUGUGCAGCAGCAGAAGAAGUGGAAUUCGGGAAGAUUAUUCAUGGUUUAGCUGUAAAGCUAGGAUUAGCUGACGAGUUAACAGUGAAUAACUCUUUAGUGGAUAUGUAUUGCAAAGUUGGAUACUUUUCUGAUGCACAAAUUCUGUUUGAAGAAAAUGAGAGCAAAAAUGUGGUCUCUUGGAACUCCAUUAUCGGGGGUUAUUCAGGAGAAGGAGAUGAUAGAGGAACAUUUCAUCUUAUGAGAAGGAUGCAAAGUACCGAUGAGUAUGUGAAGGCGAAUGAGGUUACUCUAUUGAAUGUUUUGCCCGUGUGCCUAGAGGAGUCAGAGCAGUUGAUACUGAAAGAACUGCAUGGCUACUCGCUUAGAAAUGGUCUUGAAUACCAUGAGUUGUUAACAAAUGCUUUUAUAGCUGCCUAUGCAAAGUGUGGAUUGCUCAGAUACGCUGAGCUUGUAUUCUAUGGAGUGACGAAUAAGACAGUAAGCUCUUGGAAUGCACUGAUAAGUGGCUAUGCUCGGAAUGAAGAUCCAUCCAAGGCUUUGACUCUGUCCUCUGAAAUGAUGGAUUCUGGCUUGCUUCCUGACUGGUUCACUAUCGGUAGCCUUCUGUUUGCUUGUUCCCACUUAAAACUGCUACAUUGUGGUACAAUAAUUCACGGUUUUGUGCUUAGAAAUGGUCUAGAAGCAGAUAUGUCUACACUAGUUUCCCUAGUUUCAUUCUACAUGACUUGUGGAAAACCAGAGCUAGCACAACAUCUGUUUGACAGGAUAGAAAAUAAAAAUGUGGUAUCCUGGAACGUGAUGAUAGCUGGUUAUUUGCAGAAUGCACUACCAGAUAAAGCAUUUUGUCUGCUUCGUGAUAUGGUAGCUCAUAGAUUUCAACCUGAUGAAAUUUCGGUGACAAGUGUUUUAGGGGCUUGUUCAACAUUGUCUGCUGCCAGGCUGGGGAAAGAAGUUCAUUGCUUUGCACUGAAAUCCAACCUUAUAGAGGAUAGUUUUGUCCAUUGCUCAAUCAUAGACAUGUAUGCAAAAUCUGGAUUUAUAGAAAUGUCCAAGUAUGUUUUUGACCAUAUUCCACUCAAAGAUAUAACAUCAUGGACAGCUAUGAUUACAGGAUAUGCAGUUCAUGGACUUGGAAUGGAGGCCAUCAAGCUAUUUCAGGAAAUGCAAAAAUCGGGCUUCAACCCUGCCAGCUUGACAUAUAUCUCUAUUUUAAUGGCAUGUAACCACGCCGGGCUCAUUGAAGAAGGUCGACAAUAUGUAAAAGAGAUGCAGACAUUGCAUGGUCUAAAACCUGAAUUGGAGCAUUAUGCAUGCGUGAUUGACAUGCUGGCUCGUGCUGGACAGUUUGAUGAUGCCCUAAAUCUCAUGGCUGAGAUGCCUAUGCAGCCAGAUACUCAAAUUUGGUGUUCGUUGCUCAAUUCAUGUAUAGUUCACGCCCAG
This 12603-nucleotide long non-coding RNA is filed under the name Solanum tuberosum (potato). RNAcentral describes it as "long non-coding RNA (STUB_LNC004139)". The record is from RNAcentral. Lineage: Eukaryota; Viridiplantae; Streptophyta; Magnoliopsida; Solanales; Solanaceae.